AGGGAAGUCGAUGUAGUUGUAUUGUUAUUCUUUUUUAAUGUUUUUGAAAUAAUGUAUAUUGUAGAUUGAUAUGAGAUAUUUGGAAGAUCAUAUAAUAAAACAAACUGCAGUGCUUGUUUCGAAAAUAAUUAGGUUCAAAAUUUAAAUUUUGGUAGCUUCAAUUAAUUUCCUGCUAAUUUUAAGAUUAUCUAAUUUUAUCAAUGAAAGAGUCUCUUGUGAAUAUGCUUCUUUUAUUUAAACUCUGAAAAUAUGUUUGCCCAAAUGUCGACUCAUAUUGUAAAUUUGAAAUUCAAAGUUUUAAGUCAAUGCUAUUGUGACUACUCCUUUCACAUGUCUAGAUAUCAUUUUCGUACGUUUCGUCAAUUUUAAUGACGUCUCCCACCAAUAUCCAGAUGCAGUUCAUAAUAAUAAUUCUGACAAAUCAAAUAUUUGUUUUCGGUUUCAUUAACCAUCAAUGGGUUAUUAUGAGGAUUGAAUAAUUGUCCAAAUUUUUUGCCCGGUAAGGAGUUACAGAUAUAACAAUUUCAUCAAAGAAAAAAAACUGUCAGCAACGAGACAUUAAACGUAAAUUAUCGCGUUUAGAGUUAUCUCCCCCUGAAACUCCCCUUAAUUAAUUCCUUUGAAUGAUGCUACAUAAAAUAAACAAAUAACACCAGGUAAGCUAAUAUUUAGUUCCCAAAUUUGUCUAGUUAAAACAUGUAUUUUGAGAUAACGAAUAGAAAAAUAAGUUGAACAAUUUACCGAUCUUUACAAAUAGAACAUACUUUAUUUGCGAAGCUGUUUAAACAACGCCCAUCUAGAUCAAAUUGAUACACUUAAAAUAUAACUAUAUCUACUGAUCAUAUAGUUGUAACAUUUAUUUGUGUUAAUUGAUGUCGUUUGAAAACUGAUGAUAAAUGAUAUUUUAUUGAACGAAUUUAAACUUAUCCAUCGAAUAGCCUGCAUUAGCAAUGGUUUGCUGCUUCGUAUGAACAGACGACAUCUUUUUUCGCAGAGGUGUUGCCCACAUUUGAAUUACACUUCGAAAUACGCAGGGGACAAGUUAAACUUAACCGAGCGUUGAAUGUAAAUUUUCUGAAAAUUAGGGAAUCACAUUUUAAGUUGCAUUUUUAGAAUUUUCCCAAAAAUAAGCAAAGGGACUUAUACUUUUUAUGUAUUUAAUAAGUAUUUCUAAUGCAAAAGAGAGACACUGUAAAGAGAGAUGUCGUUGCCGUGACUUUUAGGCUGAUUGAUACAAAUAAUGAUGGGCACAUUGAUGGUAAUGAGUAUGCCUCAUAUUAUGCAAAUAAAAACAUACCUGGACUGGACUACAGCAGGACUCGAUGGAGACAGUUGUUCUACUUAGCCAUGCCUCAAAUUGACACAAACGGGAAUGAAAAGCUAGAAAUUGGCGAAUUCCGUUCGUUAGCAGAACGUGCAAUGAGAUAUUAGAGGGUAUUAGAAGCAAAAUGUGACGACAUUCCACCCGUUAUUAAAGUGAAAUUUACUUAAAAGUCCGAUUCCAAAUUUACUAUUUUCAGUUCCGACUUUAAACAAAAUUUGUGUUUGUUUUUCACAAUUGCUUAACGCGUCAUUUGUUCCUUUUAAACGGAAGCUACACUUCCCAAAUAAAAAAAAUCAAUGUGAAAUUUGCCUUUUUAUUUUCGCGUUUCAGAAUCUAAAGCCUGCUUACAUUUUUUUUAAGUUGCUUAUCAUUUGUUCUCUGGUGAAUAAUUGCCUCGCUGGCAAUCAUACAAGAUCUUUUUUUUUAAUUUUUAUACUAACAAAAUUUAAAAAGUGUUAACCAAAACGUUGGUAUUUGUUGACGGUGUGUGUCUUUAUCAAAUAAAGUACAAGCAAAUUA
This is a long non-coding RNA of Mytilus californianus (California mussel), 1843 nucleotides long. RefSeq lists it as uncharacterized. The transcript is spliced from 2 exons. Lineage: Eukaryota; Metazoa; Mollusca; Bivalvia; Mytilida; Mytilidae. The record is from RefSeq and is a predicted model, not a curated record.